This 229-nucleotide ribosomal RNA is filed under the name uncultured bacterium. RNAcentral describes it as "partial 16S ribosomal RNA". It matches the Rfam family "Bacterial small subunit ribosomal RNA", at positions 568 to 796 of the family's 1533-position model. The record is from RNAcentral.
UGCGUAGGCGGAAUAAUAAGUCAGUGGUGAAAUCCUGCGGUUCAACCGUAGAACUGCCAUUGAUACUGUUAUUCUUGAAUUUAGUUGAGGUAGGCGGAAUGUGUAAUGUAGCGGUGAAAUGCUUAGAUAUUACACAGAACACCGAUUGCGAAGGCAGCUUGCUAAACUAAUAUUGACGCUGAUGCACGAAAGCGUGGGGAGCGAACAGGAUUAGAUACCCUGGUAGUCC